Molecule: ribosomal RNA, 497 nt
Filed under: uncultured bacterium
Lineage: Bacteria
Description: partial 16S ribosomal RNA
Rfam family: Bacterial small subunit ribosomal RNA
Source: RNAcentral
GAUGAACGCUGGCGGCGUGCCUAAUACAUGCAAGUCGAGCGAACAGACGAGGAGCUUGCUCCUCUGACGUUAGCGGCGGACGGGUGAGUAACACGUGGAUAACCUACCUAUAAGACUGGGAUAACUUCGGGAAACCGGAGCUAAUACCGGAUAACAUGUUGAACCGCAUGGUUCAACAGUGAAAGACGGUCUUGCUGUCACUUAUAGAUGGAUCCGCGCCGCAUUAGCUAGUUGGUAAGGUAACGGCUUACCAAGGCAACGAUGCGUAGCCGACCUGAGAGGGUGAUCGGCCACACUGGAACUGAGACACGGUCCAGACUCCUACGGGAGGCAGCAGUAGGGAAUCUUCCGCAAUGGGCGAAAGCCUGACGGAGCAACGCCGCGUGAGUGAAGAAGGUCUUCGGAUCGUAAAACUCUGUUAUUAGGGAAGAACAAAUGUGUAAGUAACUGUGCACGUCUUGACGGUACCUGAUCAGAAAGCCACGGCUAACUACGUG